Mauremys reevesii (Reeves's turtle) is the source of this 445-nucleotide long non-coding RNA. RefSeq lists it as uncharacterized. The record is from RefSeq and is a predicted model, not a curated record. NCBI's taxonomy places the organism in Eukaryota, Metazoa, Chordata, Testudines, Geoemydidae. The transcript has 4 exons.
CUGCACUAUAAAUGAGAUGUGAGAUGUCUGGAGACCUAUCUAUAAUUCAUGUGUCUUGGAGAAAGGGGAUUUCAACAAGAGGUCUGACCAAAUCUGGAUACAAACAGCCAAGUGUCAUGCUGACAACCUGACCACAAGGAUAGUGGAGAGGAAUCUGCUUUUAAGAGAUGUUCUUACACCACAUUCAUCAUCAUAUUUCCUGAGCACCUUCCGGUACUGCAUGAAGCAAUGUAGGCUGACAGAAGGAUUCAACACCAUAGGAGGGCAGGACACCCACCUCUUCCGGAAAGUUCACCACAGGACAGCAGCCUUAUUUAUCCAGCAGAGGAUCUCUGGGGGAUGUUUUGAGUCAACACCUCUCCCAGCAUGGCCGAUUCCAGCCACUUGUUGGAUGUUAGCAGCCAGCUCUAACAACUUGCACCCACAACCUCAAUUACCGAGGGCU